AUGAGAGACACAGAGGAAGAGAGAGAGUCAGAGACAGAGGCAGAGGGAGAAGCAGGCUCCAAGCAGGAGCCUGAUGUGGGACUCGAUCCUGGGUCUCCAGGAUCAGGCCCUGGGCUGAAGGCAGCGCUAAACCGCUGAGCCACCGGGCUGCCCUAAAAUAUUUUUUUAAAAAGAUUUUUCUUAUUUAUUUGAGAGAAAGCAUGAGUGGGAGGGGUAGAAGGGGAGGGAGAGGGAGAAGCAGACUCUACACGGAGUGUGUAGCCCGACUUAAGACAAUCCCAGGACCCUAACAUAAUGACUUGGACCCUGGGAUCAUGACCUGAGCAGAAACCAAGAGUCAAAAGCUCAACUAUCUGAGCCACCCAGGCACCCCUAGUGUUUGAUCUGCCAGUGGGAAGUGGCUACAGCUGUAGCAGCUGCUUGGAUGCGGACAUGGAAACCACAUGUGGAAGAUGGCAGGGCCAAGCCACCAGCCCCGGAUGACCUCCCUGAGCAAUGCUGGUGCAGGAUCUGCUGCAGGAAACGACUAGAAAUCAUUAUAGGAGAAAGUCUCCAUGCCGGGGGCGUGGGGUUUGGACUCAAGAUCCUGAGAUUAAGUGUCACAUCCUCUACUGAUGGAGCCAGCCAGGAGCCCUGAGAAUGUGUCAAAGACUUGAACAAAGGAAGACUUUGAACAAAUACUUGAAGCUAAGGAAGAGUUAAUACCCUGUGGCUAUUGUGAGAUGAACAUCUGAAGAAGAGGAAAUAAUACAAAAGCCCUGAAGGAGAAGCCAGACACAAGUGUUCAAGGAACAGCAAAGAGGCUAGUGUGGCUAGAACUGAGAGACUGAGGGGGAAAGCACAGGGAGGUGAAGUCAAAGAAAUCACAAUCGCCAGCUUGUGGCAUGGGUCCACUGGACUCAGUGUGAAAAUCUUUUUUUUUUUUAAGAUUUUAUUUAUCCAUUCAUGGGAGACACAGAGAGAGAUACAGAGAGAGAGAGAGAGAGAGAGAGAGGCAGAGACACAGGCAGAGGGAGAAGCAGGCUCCAUGCAGUGAGCCCAAUGUGGGACUCCAUCCCAGGUCUCCAGGAUCAGGCCCCGGGCCGAGGGUGACGCUAAAUGGCUGAGCCACCCGGGCUGCCCCUCAGUGUGAAAAUCAUUAAAAGAAAACCACACUUGAUAGGAUGAGCACUGGGUGUAAU
This 1181-nucleotide long non-coding RNA is filed under the name Vulpes vulpes (red fox). RNAcentral's name for it is "lncRNA (ENSVVUG00000002764.1)". Lineage: Eukaryota; Metazoa; Chordata; Mammalia; Carnivora; Canidae. The record is from RNAcentral.